GGUUAAUAAUGUUUUGUCAGUCCAUCCAUGGCUAGAGGAAAAUUCCUUCUUUAUGUAUUUUGUCCAUAACCCUGAUAAACCAACAGGGGCUUUCACACAGCACCUUAAAAGCCUGUCUUAUCCUUGGGGUUUCUGCAGCCAAUGAAAGUUUGUCAUGAUGAUGUAAUGCUCCUGAGUUGUGUUUCAGCACCGAGUGUGUGGUCACCGGGUAUCAUGCCUGAGAGCUAGGACUUCCUGGGUCCCAGAGAGUUCAAUAGCAAAGUCUUCAGCCCUUCAUGUAAGACCAUGUUCUUCACCAUACUUGGAAACUGUCUUAUGGAGGGGAAGAUCUAAGGAAUCCAAAUGCCUUCCUCCACACCACACUGGAUGAAUGACACUACAAAAGCACCCUCUUGAUUGGCGACAGAGAUAGAUCAACACAAGAGACCUCGACCAAUGUCUCUUUAUCUCUAAAUAGGUUCUUUCUGUUCUACCACUGACCUCUUCAGGUUCAAUUCUUAAAUAGAACCAAAUGCUCCAUUGGGGUGGGGGGUGGGGGGAUCCCUAUUCCAGACCUAAUUCACACUAACCAAAUCACAACACAUUCAUAAGAGGAAAUGCCAAUUACACUUAAAAAUUAACUUCCAGAUUAUAGUGCUCACUUCAACAAUUGGAAAGCUACCUUCUAAAUAGAAAUGUCUAUGUGAGAAAUAAAAUUAAAAGAACAAACUAUUUGU
This 716-nucleotide long non-coding RNA is filed under the name Fukomys damarensis (Damara mole-rat). RNAcentral's name for it is "lncRNA (ENSFDAG00000024872.1)". Lineage: Eukaryota; Metazoa; Chordata; Mammalia; Rodentia; Bathyergidae. The record is from RNAcentral.